RNAcentral lists this small nuclear RNA (127 nucleotides) under Jaculus jaculus (lesser Egyptian jerboa). RNAcentral's name for it is "U4 spliceosomal RNA (ENSJJAG00000004265.1)". It matches the Rfam family "U4 spliceosomal RNA". Rfam says of the family: U4 small nuclear RNA (U4 snRNA) is a component of the major U2-dependent spliceosome. Lineage: Eukaryota; Metazoa; Chordata; Mammalia; Rodentia; Dipodidae. The record is from RNAcentral.
AGUUUUGCACAGUGGCAGUAUCAAAGCCAAAGAGGUUUAUCCAAGACAUGAGUAUUGCUAAUUGAAAACUUUCCCCAACACCUGGCUGUGAUGACUUGCAAUUGAUCUAUCUAAACUUCCUUCUUUA